AAGAAUCCGUGCCGAUUAGAUUGGAUCCAAUUCGUAACAAGGUAACCGGUAGGUGAACCUGCCGGUGGAUCCAAUAUCGGAAAUGUAUGGGUUUUAAUAUCAUAGUGAGGAAAAUCAUGCUUCGAGGGAUCGAUUGGCAUUGAGGACGAUGAAGAACGCAGCAGCGUGUGAUAAGAGAUGAGAAUUGGCGGCCUCAAGUCUGUGUUCCAAUGGUAGACGAAGUCUACGAUAACCCCUUGGACUUAAGCAUAUCAUUAGAGGGAGGAAAAGAAAACAACAGUGAUUCCGGCAGUAGCGGCGAGCGAAGUUGGAGUAGCCCCAAUGGUAAUGGCGCAAGCCAGUUGUAAGGGGAAGCGGGAAAUGCUCUGAAACGAGUAUCCAUAGAGGGUGAUAGACCUUAUUGCACUCCCGUCAUGACGAGUAGCACUGUUUGGUAGUGCAGUGUGAAAGGGUGGUUGUAAGCACCUAAGGCUAAAUACAAUCAAUGUACCGAUAGCGAAUAAGUACUGUAAAGGAAGCUAUCUGCUGUAGUGGCAGAGAGUGAAAUCGAGCAUGCGGAAGGCAACAUGUUGCACCCGUCUUGAAACACGGACC
This 594-nucleotide ribosomal RNA is filed under the name Paraepiseptum polycentropi. RNAcentral's name for it is "eukaryotic LSU rRNA". The stretch from base 102 to 594 matches the Rfam family "Archaeal large subunit ribosomal RNA", at positions 1 to 665 of the family's 2987-position model. The record is from RNAcentral. Lineage: Eukaryota; Fungi; Microsporidia; Gurleyidae.